RNAcentral lists this long non-coding RNA (333 nucleotides) under Homo sapiens (human). RNAcentral describes it as "non-protein coding lnc-COX6A2-2:1". The record is from RNAcentral. Lineage: Eukaryota; Metazoa; Chordata; Mammalia; Primates; Hominidae.
CAGAUCAGCUCCGACUUCGGGGCCCCCCUCUGCUCCAUGGAUGUGGACAGCGAUGGCAGCACCGAUCUGGUCCUCAUCAGGGCCCCCCACAGGUCUACAAGCAGACCCGAGGGGGCCAGGUGUCCGUGUGCCCCUUGCCCAGGGGAGUGAGUGGCUGCCGGUGGUGGUGUGAGAUCACUCUCUGUGGGGAGCAGGGCCAUCCCUGGGGCCACUUUGGGGCAGCUCUGACAGUGCUGGGGGACGUCAGUGGGGACAAGCUGACAGACAUGGCUAUCGGGGUCCCGGGAAAGCAGGAGAACCGAGACGCUGUCUACCUGUUUCACGGAGCCUCGG